GAUCAGGCUCAGGACGAACGCUGGCGGCGCGCCUAACACAUGCAAGUCGAACGAGCGAGGGAGAGCUUGCUUUCUCAAGCGAGUGGCGAACGGGUGAGUAACGCGUGAGGAACCUGCCUCAAAGAGGGGGACAACAGUUGGAAACGACUGCUAAUACCGCAUAAGCCCACGGCUCGGCAUCGAGCAGAGGGAAAAGGAGCAAUCCGCUUUGAGAUGGCCUCGCGUCCGAUUAG
Molecule: ribosomal RNA, 233 nt
Filed under: uncultured bacterium
Lineage: Bacteria
Description: partial 16S ribosomal RNA
Rfam family: Bacterial small subunit ribosomal RNA
Source: RNAcentral